AUUGAACGCUGGCGGCAGGCUUAACACAUGCAAGUCGAGCGGGGAAAGGUAGCUUGCUACCUGACCUAGCGGCGGACGGGUGAGUAAUGCUUAGGAAUCUGCCUAUUAGUGGGGGACAACAUCUCGAAAGGGAUGCUAAUACCGCAUACGUCCUACGGGAGAAAGCAGGGGACCUUCGGGCCUUGCGCUAAUAGAUGAGCCUAAGUCGGAUUAGCUAGUUGGUGGGGUAAAGGCCUACCAAGGCGACGAUCUGUAGCGGGUCUGAGAGGAUGAUCCGCCACACUGGGACUGAGACACGGCCCAGACUCCUACGGGAGGCAGCAGUGGGGAAUAUUGGACAAUGGGGGGAACCCUGAGCCAGCCAUGCCGCGUGUGUGAAGAAGGCCUUUUGGUUGUAAAGCACGUUAAGCGAGGAGGAGGCUACCGAGAUUAAUACUCUUGGAUAGUGGACGUUACUCGCAGAAUAAGCACCGGCUAACUCUGUG
This 485-nucleotide ribosomal RNA is filed under the name uncultured bacterium. RNAcentral's name for it is "partial 16S ribosomal RNA". It matches the Rfam family "Bacterial small subunit ribosomal RNA", at positions 30 to 507 of the family's 1533-position model. The record is from RNAcentral.